GUCACCGAACCACUUUAUUAUCAUUCGGUGAAGACUUUCCUCCUUUUUAAAUUGAUCGGACGUUUCGAUGUGUUGGUCCGGCCUCCAUCGCCAACCUACAAGAAUAUUAGUCAUUCCAAUGUUGUAUAAUCGGUAAAGAUUCUGGCAGGGCUGAAACGUGUUCUGGAGGAAUUAAGCCAGAAAACCAGCCCAUGCUAGUAGCGCUAAGGCCACCUGUGCGAAACAGCCAUGAAGCAAUAGAAUAUAUAGCACGACAUGAAAUUUUCAAAGAAUUUUUGAUCUUUCGUUUCAACUACUAAUUCACAACUUGCCUGGAAAAUAAAUAUGCACAAAA
Molecule: long non-coding RNA, 334 nt
Organism: Venturia canescens
Lineage: Eukaryota; Metazoa; Arthropoda; Insecta; Hymenoptera; Ichneumonidae
Exons: 2
Source: RefSeq, a predicted model, not a curated record